AUUGAACGCUGGCGGCAGGCCUAACACAUGCAAGUCGAACGAGUGGCGGACGGGUGAGUAAUGUCUGGGAAACUGCCUGAUGGAGGGGGAUAACUACUGGAAAAGGUAGCUAUUACCGCAUACCAUCGGAUGUGCCCAGAUGGGAUUAGCUAGUAGGUGGGGUAAAGGCACACCUAGGCGAGGAUCCCUAGCUGGUCGGAGAGGAUGACCAGCCACACUGGAACUGAAGCACGGUCCAGACUCCGGCGGUAGGCAGCAGUGGGGAAUAUUGCACAGUGGGCGCAAGCCUGAUGCAGCCAUGCCGCGUGUAUGAAGAAGGCCUUCGGGUUGUAAAGUACUUUCAGCGGGAAGGCAUUACCCGCAGAAGAAGCACCGGCUAACUCCGCGCCAGCAGCCGCGGUAAUAC
This 406-nucleotide ribosomal RNA is filed under the name uncultured bacterium. RNAcentral's name for it is "partial 16S ribosomal RNA". It matches the Rfam family "Bacterial small subunit ribosomal RNA", at positions 30 to 526 of the family's 1533-position model. The record is from RNAcentral.